RNAcentral lists this non-coding RNA (200 nucleotides) under Nitrospirota bacterium. The record is from RNAcentral. Lineage: Bacteria; Pseudomonadati; Nitrospirota.
UUUAAUAAGAAUCACACAGGUAACCGCAUUGGUUUUAAAUGGGAACCCCGUAUAAGCGGGGGCGGACCCGCCGCUGUAAUCCUGACCUCACAGAUUGAGGUAAGACCUUUAUCAAAAAAGCCACUGCCAAUUUUUAAAUUGGCGGGAAGGCAGUAAAGGUUUGGGAGAGCCAGAAGACCUGCCUGUGUAUUCCUUCCGCA